UCUCUACGCUGGCGGCAGCUAACCAUGCGUUAGAGCGGAUGACGUGGAGCUUCCUCCUUGUUAUCCAGCGGCGGACGGGUGAGUAAUGCCUACGGAAUCUAGCCUGGAUAGUGGGGGACAACGAUAUUCGAAAGUGAACGCCUAAUACCUGCCCACGUCUUACGGGAGAAAGCAGGGUGACCUCUCGGGCCUUGCGCUAUCCGAUGAGCCUAGUGUCUGGAUUAGCUAGUUUGGUGAGGUAAUGGCUCACCAAGGCUGACGAUCCUGUCACUGGUCUGAGAGGAUGAUCAGUCACACUGUGAACUGAGACAAGGUCCAGACUCCUACGGGAGGCAACAGUGGGGAAUAUUGCGACCAUGGUGUACACGCCUGAUCCAGCUCAUGACCGCGUGUUGUGAAAGACGGGUCUUCGGGAUUGGUAAACACACUAAUAAGAUUGUGGACGGCAGGGACAGAUACAGCUAAUAACUUU
Molecule: ribosomal RNA, 472 nt
Filed under: uncultured Pseudomonas sp.
Lineage: Bacteria; Pseudomonadati; Pseudomonadota; Gammaproteobacteria; Pseudomonadales; Pseudomonadaceae
Description: bacterial SSU rRNA
Rfam family: Bacterial small subunit ribosomal RNA
Source: RNAcentral